CCCAGAGUUCCCUGGGAAGAGGGACUGAUUGUUAAGCCUGGGCCACUUCAGGUUGAUAAGGUAAACUCAACCCUGAAACUGCCAAAAUUAUUGUAGUAAUUGGUAGUUAUAGAGUUAAAUAUUAUCUCCAAUUAUUAUGUUUUGGAGAUAAGAACAAACUAAAAGGUGGAUUCUUAUGUUCCUAUGUUGUUGUGCCUUAGCCUAUUCACCAGUAAGCAACCUCACGCUCUGGGCCUACAAAACCUUACUUUAUAUUAAAUAAAUAAGAACAUAACCAUUAUGAAGAGAUAUUGAAGAUUCUAAAACUCUUCAAAUGAGGUAGAAAAAUUGCACCCUCUUUUGCAAGGAGAGACAACAUUUGGGAAAUUGGAAAAGAGCGUUUGUGGGGGUUGAGGGCUGCAACUGGGAAGAAGAAUCAGCUAACACACACACAGUCACACAGUGUGUGUGCAGAAAUGCUUCUUCUUUGUGUGUGUGGAUCUUUAGAUGCAAGCCUUUAGAGAUGGUAAUGAUUUGCUGGAGCACUUUCAGCAGUGAAUAUGGCGACCAAGGAUGUGGCUGUUAAAUCAGGCAGACUUUGAGAGGAAUCAAAUGAGGCUUUGUAUGCUCUUGAACUGGAUUAUCGGACGGGCUUUUCACACAUUCUUGUGUCUAACUCAUAUGCUUCCAUGGCUCUUCAGAGUAUUUACGUACAUAUUGCUGACAAUAUUGUAUCUGACAGAGAAAUGUGUUUAUAAAUUGGGUGUUUAUGGGGAAAUAUGGAAUCUCUGCAGCUAGUGGUAUUGUUGAGUCUUAAACAAUAAAAUGUUCCUCUAAGAAACAAAGCUACAGAGACACUUGUUUAAGGGAGCCAUUUCAAAAUAUUAUUUGUAAUUUUCAUCUCCUUUAAUUUCGAGUUGCAUUGAAAAAAGAGUUUCCUUCUUUUUAAAAUGUGUUUUUCUUUUCCCCUAGCCUGUGAUAUCAUUGCCAUCAGCAUGGAAUUGGUGUAUCAUCAGCAACAAGACCAAAGCAAAAACAAUGUCAGUAAAAGAGAAAGGAAGAAACUAUGCUACUGCAACUACUAAUGGUGGGCUUUGCCCCCAACAAAUUGUUGGAGAAUUUCCACACCCCUGAAGAAUUUUCAUGAAAUGAGUUUCAUACAAAUAAGGUAGAGAAUUUUGAUAGGCCAUUUGCACACAGCUCUAUGUACCUGUACAGCUUUCUCUCAAGCAACAGCAAUUGACAGCAUGAUGAGGUGCUGCCACUCACCUGAUCUGCAGUCAGUUGUGUUGCUGCUGCUUAGUGGAAGGUAGAGAGGGAGGGAGGAGCCAUCAGCAAGGUCAGCAUGGUGCAAACUCAUGGGCAGGGUCAAUGUUGUGCUCUUGACAUGGUUCUUCAACGGCACCAACCUCACCACCACCUUACCCUCUCCCCCGAUCUACUGUACCUUCCAGUCUGUAGCAGUGACAUGGCCAGGUGAGGAACACCACCUCAACACGCCUUCUGCUAGAAUACCCAUUCUGUGUGUUUUCAGCCAAGAGGGCAGUUCACAGCACAAGCCCUUUUUGAACUCAUUCUCACCUCCUGGAUGUUCAGGUUAUAUGAUAAUAAAAAUAAUUAAUAUCAAACGAAGAUUUUUUUAAAGGAAUGUUGACAGCCCAAUACAGAAACAAGUUUGUGUGUCAUUGGAGGGGUGAAGGAAAAAUGAGUCAAAUUCACCCAGAAAAGGGUGUCCAACCCCUGUUUGUAGAAGCAUUUGGAGACAAACUUCUUCAAAUAAAAUUAAUCAGCACAGAGAGAAAGACAAACAGUGGCAAGUGCAGAGAAGAGAAGCCCAGCUACAGCUUAGGAAAAGUUACUUUUUGAUUAGAACAUUUUUGAGGGUUGAAAUCAUUUGACUUCAAGCUCUUUUCCAUUGUCUGCACUUUUAUUUCCCAGGAUAUAAAUCCAUUUUGUAAUUACUCCACUAGUCUUAUCUCAGAAACUUUGCCUGACACACCAUUCCAUAUGUUUAUGAUUCUCUGAAUGAAAAAGUGCUCCCUGACAACCGUUCAGAUUUUUCCUUUAAUUUCCAUUUAUGCCUUAUUGUCUUAGAAUGUUGAACUGGAAAUAUAUGUUGCAAUAUUGUGUGACAUUAUCUGUAUUACUUAAGAUUUUAUAUACCCAUACAUCAACCAAACAUCAGAUAAAUCUCGUGGUUGCUCUUUUUUUCCUCCCUUCAUCUUCUUUUCUACUGCUCUGUAGGUAAUAGAUUCAAUUUAGUCUCUGUGACAAGUUAACUUUAAGGGUUUCUCACAAAACUAGGAGAGAAUACAUCUACAUUUGGGUUUGAAUUAUUCAGAAAUGGCUCCAAGUAUCCCCCCCCCCAUUGUAGAGUAGGAAAAAUAAGUUGGAUUUAAUAAAACUCUCAUUUGCUUAUAAAAUUAUUUGUAAAUUAAACAAUAUUUAUGAUUAUUAACAGAUCAGUCAGUAAAUUAUAAUCAAACCAAUACAAUUUUACAGUUUACAGAUUUGCAAAUUACAGCCCAAUCCACAACCCUGAGAAAUGUAGCUUAAUUGUAUCAUAAACCACAGUAGCUGAUCUGAUUAAAAUCCAAGAAUUUUGGAUUAGAUGUUCUGCGAAGUGGAGGUUACUACUGCGACACAAUAAUGGCCCAAUCUUUUAGCAGCUGCUACCUGCCUGUGCAGGACUAAUUAAUGACAGCAUCCUAAAGGAAGUUAAGAUGCAUGCCAUGAGUAUGAGGUGCACUUCAGUGUAGCUAGUUUCAGAAUAAGGAUCUAGGGAAUUCCAACAUGCACCUCAAUUAGGCAAACAGAAUUAAAUUCCAAUGAAAUAAUGUUUUUGUGAUUAGGGUGUUAAGCAAUUACCCAGCUACACACACACACACCUAUUUGUGAUCCUGCAAUACUGAUUUCUAAAUACUUAUGGUUAUGUUCAGAGAUGAAGCAGAGCAUUUCCCCACCUUAUUUAUCAUACACUGGCACAGAAACAAAAUCAGUCUUCCGAAGAUUCUGAUUACUUGUGAGCAAGUUUCUUGUCAGCAGUUUUCAAAAUGUACAAUGGAAUUAAUCUUCUGCAAGGUGGAGGUACAGUCUAUCAGCUAAGCCUCUCUCCCUACCCUUCUCCCACACCCCUAUUUAGCUUCUCGCAGAAUAUAUGGUUGUGAUAAAUUAGCAGGAGUUGGAGGUGCAACCAUUUCAAUUCUGUUUUCAUUCUGCGCUGUCAGAAGAAAACGACACUAAUUGUUUUGUCUUGCUCAGGUGAAACAAAUGGAGCUUUAGGGGAGGGGGAAAAUUAAAUAUCAACAUGUACCUUUGUAAGUCCCAGUUUUACUGCUGUUUAUUUGAUUAAAUUUGAAAAUAUUAACCCCAGUCCAGAAACCAGGAAACUGCAAAAAAAAAAAAGACAUUUAUAGAUUUUAUUUCUGGAAAUAUCACUGAAAUGCUUUUGUCUAGAGCUACAACGUAUUUAAUAAGGCCGUGCAACUGAUUUUUCCUAAUCCUGAAUGGAAUUCAGCCGAUUCGUACUGAUUUGUACCAAAUCUGGAUUGGGUUGAGGCAGCUAUAAAUUGCUAGAGUUGGGUGGAUCCAAACUGAUUUGUAGCAAUUUGUGUUGAUCUGGAGCUCAAAAUGUUCUCUGAUAAAGCCAGACCUACUAUCACCAAAGCAUUUAAUUUAUUGAUUACAACACCAUAUAAGGAGAACACCAGGGCAAGGGAAGAGGGAGGCUCAUUGGCAAUUCUAGCUUCCAAUUCAGGGCUUACAAUCUCACCCAACCCACUCAGUGCUUGGGGAGAAGGAAGUUCACAUUGCUAUCACUCUUAUAAACUCUAUCUCUUAGAAAGACUUUGGUGGCAUUUGUUCGGCUUCUGUUUUGUUUUCUUCACAGUACUCUGACAAGCCUUAUACCUGUUUGCUAUCCACCCCUAAUCAAUCCCAAUCCCAUCUUUAUACAAAUACAGUAAAAGGUUUUUUUCCGGGUCCUAAUCUUAGUUACUUAGGCAAUGUCACUUACCUUAUGUCCUGCUCCCAUUUUGGCCCUAGUUUUUAAGGUUUGGUUUGUAUUUUAUUUACAGGUGUGUUCUGUUUUCUGUGUUGGUCUUUAUUAGUACAUGUGUUUGUUUGUUUGUUUGUUUGUUUGUUUGUUUGUGGGGGGGUAAGUAUUAUGAGUACAUUGUGCAUAGUCAGUGCACAAGCAGCACACAUACAGGGUAAUAUUACAUAUAUCAGUCUUUUUUAAAAAAAAUCUUUUUUGGGGGGGAAAGCAAACUUUAAAGGUGGCUGGCAUAAAAAUCUCUUGAUUAACCUGUCUGAAAUUUGCCAUGAUAAAUCCUGCCUUGAGGGGUUAUCAUGUAUCCAAAUUUCAUGCACUAUGUGAAAAAGCUAAAAAGCUGUGUACAUUUUGGUUUCCCAGAGCAAGUGAAUAGUAUUACAAGGUUUGGAUUUCUGGAUCAGGUCCAGAUUGAUCCAAAUUAAACUGGAGCCAGAUCUGGAUUGUCACAUUGGAUGGGUGUGUGUGGAUUACACGGCCCUCAUAUUGAAACCAGUUGCUGACUUGGUUUGCUCACAUACCAAAACCUCACUGUCUGAUAUGGUAAUCAUAUCACUACAAUGCAAAUUUUCUUUCAUUUACAGCACAAACUGCACAUUCCAACCACAUAUGAACUAUAAUGAAUCAGAAUUUGACAUUGUGAAUGGAGAACAAAAUGAAUUGGAGCCACACCUAUCCAUGCAUUGAGUAGACCCACUGAAAUCAACGGGACUUAGGUAAGUCAUAAGUAGGUCGGUGCUUAACUAUGGCUGGAUCGUGCUAACAUAGUGCAAUGCAAAAUAGUGAAGCCAUGAGAACUCACUCAGCUGUGCAUAAUAGAGGCAUAGUUAAAAACACAAUUAAAAAUUAAAAAGUGUCUUGAUCUGAAAAUAUUAUAUAUGUAUUCAUCCACUUCAAAUCAGUUUCCAUAUUCUUUUUGCCAUUAAUCUUCAGUAUCACACUCAAAACAGGUGUUUCAACAGCCCAUUAAUUGCUUAUAAAUCUACCCGUGCUUCUUUCCAAAGUGCAGAGCAGUAGGAGAAAGUCAUCACUGUUUCUUUGCUUCAUUCAAAGCUGCAACCCAACUUGCUGGGAAGCAAGUUUCAUUGAACUAUGUAAACCAUAUUGGACUGUUAUUGAGUUCAGUGAAGGAUUGGAAAGUUGACCUUGGGUCCCAUUGCUUAAACCUCACUAGAAGAAGCUUCUAUACACAUUGGCUAACAUCUUCAACAUCCUUUGCUUUCUGUGUUUACUCCCGCUGAAGGCCACUUUAUUUUUAUUCAGUGGCGAAUGCCCCAAUCCGAAAGAAAGCCAGUGAAGUGUGGUGGUUGAAGAGUUCGAAAAUAAGCCUCAUUGAUGUAAUUUUAUGUGGUGAACCUCCCUGAGAUCUACAGAUGAAUACAAAUUUAAGAAAUGAUAAUUACAAUAAAAACCGAAUGAUCUAUCUUCUGUUUGUGACAAACAUCACAGUUGUUUCAGCAGAACUUACUUAAGGUAAAGACGCUUGGUGUUGCUGCAUAAUUUUGCAUGGGGAAGAGUUGACCAAAUUCACAGCAUACAUUUAAAGCACUCUUAAAGCACUCUGUCAUGACCUCCCUGAAGGAACCCUGGGACCUGUAGUUUGUUAUGGAUUCUGAGAGUGGCUAUUUCCCUCACAGAGCUACAAUUCCCAGAUUUCCCUGGGAAGAGUGAUUGUUAAACCACUCUGACAACUGUAUCUCUGUGAGAGGGGUGUGUGGGGUCUCCUAACUGCUCUCAGCAACCUUAACAAACUACAGUUCCCAAGAUUCUUUAGGGGAAGCCAUAACUGUUUAAGGUGCUAGAUUUGGCCCAUGUCUACUUAACAGCUGGAAACUAGUUUGCUGAGCUGCUUCUCGAUCUUCGCACAUCUGCGUCAAACUUGUAAUUAGAGAAAUGAAAAUCUUCUUCAUCUAUAGCUGUUCUCAUCAAGGGAAUGUCUUGGGAAUAAGAAUUGUAAUCUGAGACUUGUCCUGGAGCCUCACAGUGCAUCUUUGCAGUAGCUUUGUAAAAUGGGGUGGAAGGCAAAAUAGUCACAAGGAAGGUAUGACUGAUUCCCCCAAAGCUAUGAAUCAAAUUACUGAUAGACUCAAGAGAUUAACUGGGAUGGAUACUCCACCUCCAUACUCCCAAAGAUAUGUCCAUUAGAUCACCGUGUUUCGAGAGACAAGCCUCAGCAAGACGGAGAGGCAUGCACCAAAGUAAGCAAUAUUUUAAACAAGGUCUUGCCUGAAGUCAUAUUUGUAGAAAGGUGAAGUAUUUGUUCAUUUAUCAGUGUUUGGUUACUCAUCUGGCUGGCUUGAUCUUUUUUCUUUGUGUGCAGAUAGAAUUUCAAAAAGAGCUAAAUCAUUCUCUUUGAAAUCUGGCAUAAUUUGCUCCAAGGCUGAAAUUUUACUUGACUAGUUCCGGCUCAGGGACCUAACAUGAAAAUCCUGGAACAACUUUAAUUUCAGAAGCAUAAUAAACUGGCUUUUCCUGAA
Molecule: non-coding RNA, 6507 nt
Organism: Podarcis lilfordi (Lilford's wall lizard)
Lineage: Eukaryota; Metazoa; Chordata; Lepidosauria; Squamata; Lacertidae
Source: the annotation of a GenBank genome assembly